AUUGAACGCUGGCGGCAGGCUUAACACAUGAAAGUCGAACGCGUGGCGGCCGGGUGAGUAAUGCUUGGGAAUCUGGCUUAUGGAGGGGGAUAACGACGGGAAACUGUCGCUAAUACCGCGUACCAUAGGCUGAGCCAAAGUGGUGUUCGGUAGUUGGUGGGGUAAUGGCCCACCAGGCCGACGAUCUCUAGCUGGUCUGAGAGGAUGACCAGCCACACCGGGACUGAGACACGGCCCUGACUCCUACGGGAGGCAGCAGUGGGGAAUAUUGCGCAAUGGGGGCAACCUGACGCAGCCAUGCCGCGUGAAUGAAGAAGGCCUUCGGGUGGUAAAGUCCUUUCGGUGGCAAAGCGUUAAUCAAAGAAGAAGCACCGGCUAACUCCGUGCCAGCAGCCGCGGUAAUUC
RNAcentral lists this ribosomal RNA (405 nucleotides) under uncultured bacterium. Its description in RNAcentral is "partial 16S ribosomal RNA". It matches the Rfam family "Bacterial small subunit ribosomal RNA", at positions 30 to 526 of the family's 1533-position model. The record is from RNAcentral.